AUGUCUCUCGUUCCGUACGGCGGUGAUGGUGGCGCGUUGUCGUUGCCGAUCCCGCCGCUGACUCCGACGAACUACAUCUCCUGGGCGAUCAAGGUGGUGGCAAUCCUUGAUGCCCAAGGGCUGUGGGUCGUGGUUGCGCCAGCGGAGGGCGCGACGAUCGACGCCUGCAAGAGCAAGACGGCGCGAGCGAUGCUGUUGGGCACGCUGUCGGAGGAGGUUUUGAUGCAGGUGGCGACGAAGCCCACGACGAAGAAGGUAUGGGACUACCUCAAAGUGCAUUUCGUCGGCGCCGAUCGGGUGAAGGCUGCACGGCUGGCGACGCGGCGCAGCGAGUUCGAUUGCCUAAGGAUGGAUGACGACGAUGAGCUGGAUGCGUAUGCCGACAAGGUCAACAGCAUGGCGGCGAGGUAUGCCAGCCUCGGGGCAAUGCUCGACGAAGCGGCGAUGGUCAAGAAACUCCUCGACACCGUACCGAACCGGCUGUACGCCGAGGUGGCCGGCAUUGAGCAUUUUUGCAACGUCGAUGAAAUGUUGUUCGAGGAGGCGCUCGGCCGGCUGAAGGGCUUCGAGGAGCGGACGCGGCAGCGCGCGCAGGCCGUCUGGGAAUGGGCAGGCGAGCAGCUCAUGCUCACUGUGGCACAGUGGGCGGCGUGGCGGCAACAACAUGGUGGAGGCGGCUACGACCACGACGACGACGGAGCGGCCAACACGGCAUCGGGUGGUGGAGGGAAACGGUUUUUAGUGAGCCGCAUAGCGCGCGUGCAUCUCAAGGCGAGGACGUAG
This 783-nucleotide ribosomal RNA is filed under the name Triticum aestivum (bread wheat). RNAcentral's name for it is "partial small subunit ribosomal RNA". Lineage: Eukaryota; Viridiplantae; Streptophyta; Magnoliopsida; Poales; Poaceae. The record is from RNAcentral.